CAGGCCACUGGAGGGAGGGGUUGGGGGCAAAGGCUUAGCUGCUUCUAUCACCUCACCCCAACCCCGCUCCUCAACUCCAUCCAGGCUCUGAAGAUCUUGUAGGUAAAAUCAUGAGCAGACAGGUAAAGGAUUGGGACCGUAAAUGUAAAGCACAAAGAAGGUGCCAUGGUGCCUGGCAUACAGCAGCCACAUGGUGGAAGCACCUGUAGAUUUUGGCUUACCAAUCUGUGUGGGCAUCAUCGAUCACCAACAAGAUCCUGGGCCUUUGAAUAAUGGGAGCAGAGGGACCUGGAGGCUCCAUCAGCCCUGCGGGGGCUUGUGAGAUUUUCUAGUAUACUGUGUGGACUGAACUGCAUCCCCCAAAACAUGUUGAAGCCCUAAUCCCCAGUGUGCUGGUAACUGGAGAUAGUGCCUUUGGAAGGUGAGGACACAGGGAGAAAGAAGCUGUCUGCAGGCCAGUAAGAGGCCCUCACCAGAAACCAAACAUAGUGGGACCCUGAUCGCAGACAUCCAGCCUCCAGAACUGUUGCCAUGAGAACAUGUCCCGUGGAUCUGAUGAGGAACAGAGACACCUGAAGAAGACUUAGACCCAAGCAGUACCUUAGAGUCAUCCAGAUGAGCCCCACCAAGAUGCGUCAGCUCCCAGUCAACUUGAAGAAGCAUG
Long non-coding RNA from Canis lupus familiaris (dog), 664 nucleotides. RefSeq lists it as uncharacterized. The transcript has 6 exons. NCBI's taxonomy places the organism in Eukaryota, Metazoa, Chordata, Mammalia, Carnivora, Canidae. The record is from RefSeq and is a predicted model, not a curated record.